CCCUUAGAUGUUCUGGGCCGCACGCGCGCUACACUGAUGCAUUCAACGAGCCUAUCCUUGACCGACAGGUCCGGGUAAUCUUUGAAUCUGCAUCGUGACGGGGAUAGAUUAUUGCAAUUAUUAAUCUUCAACGAGGAAUGCCUAGUAGGCGCAAGUCAUCAGCUUGCGUCGAUUACGUCCCUGCCCUUUGUACACACCGCCCGUCGCUCCUACCGAUUGGGUGUGCUGGUGAAAUGUUCGGAUCGGCCGUUUGUCGCGGUUUCCGCGGUUCGUGGCUGAGAAGUUCAUUAAACCCUCCCACCUAGAGGAAGGAGAAGUCGUAACA
RNAcentral lists this ribosomal RNA (325 nucleotides) under uncultured eukaryote. Its description in RNAcentral is "partial 18S ribosomal RNA". It matches the Rfam family "Eukaryotic small subunit ribosomal RNA", at positions 1470 to 1796 of the family's 1831-position model. The record is from RNAcentral.